RNAcentral lists this ribosomal RNA (468 nucleotides) under uncultured microorganism. RNAcentral describes it as "bacterial SSU rRNA". It matches the Rfam family "Bacterial small subunit ribosomal RNA", at positions 9 to 524 of the family's 1533-position model. The record is from RNAcentral.
GAGUUUGAUCGUGGCUCAGAAUGAACGCUGGCGGCAUGCCUAACACAUGCAAGUCGAACGAAGGCUUCGGCCUUAGUGGCGCACGGGUGCGUAACGCGUGGGAAUCUGCCCUUGGGUUCGGAAUAACAGUUAGAAAUGACUGCUAAUACCGGAUGAUGUCGUAAGACCAAAGAUUUAUCGCCCAAGGAUGAGCCCGCGUAGGAUUAGCUAGUUGGUGGGGUAAAGGCCCACCAAGGCGACGAUCCUUAGCUGGUCUGAGAGGAUGAUCAGCCACACUGGGACUGAGACACGGCCCAGACUCCUACGGGAGGCAGCAGUGGGGAAUAUUGGACAAUGGGCGAAAGCCUGAUCCAGCAAUGCCGCGUGAGUGAUGAAGGCCUUAGGGUUGUAAAGCUCUUUUACCCGGGAUGAUAAUGACAGUACCGGAGAAUAAGCUCCGGCUAACUUCGUGCCAGCAGCCGCCGUAAC